Molecule: Y RNA, 97 nt
Filed under: Prolemur simus (greater bamboo lemur)
Lineage: Eukaryota; Metazoa; Chordata; Mammalia; Primates; Lemuridae
Description: Y RNA (ENSPSMG00000003364.1)
Rfam family: Y RNA
About the family: Y RNAs are components of the Ro ribonucleoprotein particle (Ro RNP), in association with Ro60 and La proteins.
Source: Rfam by way of RNAcentral
GGCUGGUUCAAUGGUAGUGGGUUAUCAGAACUUAUUAAUGUUAGUGUUACUAAAGUUGGCAUUCAGCCCCCCCACUGCUAAAUUUGACUGGAUUAAA